This 265-nucleotide long non-coding RNA is filed under the name Lathyrus oleraceus (garden pea). Its description in RNAcentral is "Pisum sativum (pea) long non-coding RNA (PSAT_LNC032084)". Lineage: Eukaryota; Viridiplantae; Streptophyta; Magnoliopsida; Fabales; Fabaceae. The record is from RNAcentral.
UUUCUAUUGAGGUUUUUCCUUCUUCUUUUUCUCUUUAUCAGACAGAGUUCUUUUUAUCUUCAAAAGUCCAACGCCAUUGCUGACCAUACCCUUUUGGCCACUUCACACCCCUAUUGCAGAUUAGUUUAUUUUAUUUUUUUCUUUUUUUUUCUUUUAAUUAUUUUUCUCACCUUUGUUUACACAUUUAAUAAAUACAUUAAAAGUACAUUUUCUACACAUUGAAAAUACUAAAAAUAAAGUAGUUCUUGAAUUAGACUUGGAUUAG